Quercus lobata is the source of this 1587-nucleotide long non-coding RNA. RefSeq lists it as uncharacterized. The record is from RefSeq and is a predicted model, not a curated record. The transcript is spliced from 5 exons. NCBI's taxonomy places the organism in Eukaryota, Viridiplantae, Streptophyta, Magnoliopsida, Fagales, Fagaceae.
AAGGAGUGGUACCAAACCAAUGACACAAUAAAUUCUUUAUAACACCACAAACAAUGAAAAGACAUCAUAACCCUUCUCAAACCAUUUUCACCACUAUAUAUAUAGGUUAGAGAUGCGUAGAAAAGGAAACAAAUAAUAAGUGUGUAUUAGGGUAGACAGAGAAGGGGAAAAAAAACACAGGUCUGUGGUCAACAACAUGGAUAUGGAGUACCCUUUGGGGUUUCAUUUUGUAGCACCUCAGGCUAUUAACGAAGAACAUGAAUGUAUUUUUCACGAAUUUUUAGCCAGUGUGAAUCAAGAUGGAAGAUUACACAAAAUCAACUGCUUGGCUUUAGUUUUCAAGAGUGCUACCCCCCUCGAUGUACAAGAAUCUUCUACUGGUCUACACACAAAGGUCAACCAUUCUGCAACCAAUAUAUCGAACUAUGAGUGAGGGACCAUCGAAUGCACUAAGGUUUAGGUCAACAGUGGAAGUGGAUGGAGCGACCUAUACCUCUCCAAAUACUUUUUUACAAAAAAGCAGCCGAACAAGACAUUUCCAAAGUUGCAUUGGAACACGUAGCAAAGAAGAUAAGGGAUGAAGGAUGUCCUCUCGUUUAUGAUAUUUGUUACAUCAUGAUUGUAAACUUGUAAUAUAUUUUAUCUUUUUGCAAAGGAUAGGAGAUUAUCUUUUUUAGAUUGAAAGAAGCCUAGAUUGUGAGGCUAAAAGAUGCUUGUAUGUGUGAAAGAUUAUCUUCAUCUGUAAAGCUGAUCUUUUCAUUUCUAUUACAAUAAAGAUUUGGUGACUUUAAGUCUUUAGAACAUAAAUAUGUAGGUUGCAUAUUUUCUAGGUAGAUUAAUCUUGACCAUCAGUAAUUUAAUUUAGAUGAUAAAUAUUCAAGCUAGAUCAUUUCUUUGAAUACAAACACAGUCACAGACCCUUUGAGCUCAUUACUUUUGUGUAAGAUAGAUAAUGGCUUCUUCGUUUUCUCAACCCAUGAAAAUGAUGGAAAUGAGAUCAAAUGCCUCUCCUCCUCAGUCUCAACUCUCAAUUCCGCUUCAACCUCAGCCUCAGCCUUAGCCUCCCUCUACUUCUACUGCUAUUGUGGAGACGUAUUCUCUAAAACUUGUGUGGAUGGAAUUUGUUUUGGCCUUUUAGACCCCUCGACAAUGUACAAGAUCCUUCUAUUGGUCUACACACAAAGCUCAACUAUUCUGCAACCAAUAUAUCGAACUAUGAGUGAGGGACCAUCAAAUGCACUAAGGUUUAGGUCAACGGUGGAAGUGGACGGAGCAACCUAUAUCUCUCCAAACACUUUUUUACGAAAAAAAGCAGCCGAACAAGACGUUGCCAAAGUUGCACUAGAACACAUAUCAAAGAGGAUAAAGGAUGAAUGAUGUCCUCUCGUUUAUGAGACCCCCCCUCAAUGUACAAGAACCUUCUACUAGUCUACACACAAAGGUCAUCCAUUCUGCAGCCAAUAUAUCAAACUAUGAGUGGGGGACCAUCGAAUGCACUAAGGUUUAGGUCAACAGUGGAAGUGGAUGGAGUGACCUAUACCUCUCCAAACGCUUUUUUACAAAAAAAAAAAAAGCAGCUGAAUAAGA